This 336-nucleotide ribosomal RNA is filed under the name uncultured bacterium. Its description in RNAcentral is "bacterial SSU rRNA". It matches the Rfam family "Bacterial small subunit ribosomal RNA", at positions 72 to 422 of the family's 1533-position model. The record is from RNAcentral.
AAGUGGAGCAAUCCAUGAGUAAAGUGGCGCACGGGUGAGUAACACGUGACUAACCUACCCUCGAGUGGGGAAUAACCUCGGGAAACCGGGGCUAACACCGCAUAACAUCUACGGAUCAAAUGCGUAAGCAGCUUGAGGAGGGGGUCGCGGCUGAUUAGCUAGUUGGCGGGGUAAUGGCCCACCAAGGCAAUGAUCAGUAGCCGGCCUGAGAGGGCGCACGGCCACACUGGAACUGAAACACGGUCCAGACUCCUACGGGAGGCAGCAGUGGGGAAUUUUGCGCAAUGGGGGAAACCCUGACGCAGCAACGCCGCGUGGAGGAUGAAGCCCCUUGGG